This 26431-nucleotide long non-coding RNA is filed under the name Gossypium raimondii (Peruvian cotton). Its description in RNAcentral is "long non-coding RNA (GRAI_LNC007939)". The stretch from base 16749 to 16881 matches the Rfam family "MIR7502 microRNA precursor family". The record is from RNAcentral. Lineage: Eukaryota; Viridiplantae; Streptophyta; Magnoliopsida; Malvales; Malvaceae.
GAUGAAUGAGAAACUGGAAUCAUUCUGAAGACCUGCAACAUGUAGGCUGAGGAGAGAUCCACUGCUUCUUGUGACUAGCAGUCGAAGCAUCCGAUCGAGAUGGUGGGGCUGGCAGCGACAGGUCCAUUCAUCAAGAUCUAUAUCUUGCCAACAAUAGGGACCCGUGAUUGCCUUACACCAGGAUUUGCAGACACAGGGAAUGACCACCAGUAACUCUUGUAGCGACAGGUUGGUGAAGAUCAACCCCAAUACAUCAGGAGGUAGUUGAUCCCAGUGUCGAAACUCGCUUUGCUCUUCUUCCAUCUGAUCUUCAUUCAAGUCAUGAAGGUCAUAAUCAAAUCACAACAGGAAAUAAUAAAAAAAAUCAAAGAUUAGGUGUUACCUUGUAUCACUUUCCUUGCCACUAUGCAAAACCUAAACACAAAAUCAAAGGCAACAAAAAAAGAAAAGAGAAAAGUAGGCAUAGAAUAAGACAACUGAAGUAUCUAUAUAUAUACACGUAAAAACAUGGUGUUUAGUUGGAAAACGAAGACGAAUAGGCAUGAAAGGCCGCUACUUAAUGCGGUAAUUAGAUAUUUUGUGUGCGUUGAGUGUAUGAAAGGUUGGAGAUGAGUGAUUCCAAUGUCCAAAAUUAGUGUUUAGAAUAAAUUUUCAACAAUUUUUUCUUUCAUAUGAAGAGAUAUUUAAUAUGUUUUUCUUCCCAAAAAAACCAUACUUAAUCUUCAUUGCUUAAUUUAUUAAACCACAUUAUUAUUUUUCACAAUUCCAAUAUAAAUUAACAGUUUUUUUCUAUAUAAAUGAAAGUCUAUUUCCAAUAUCUCAGAUGAUUUAUAAAAUAAUAUGAUGACGAAUUUAAAACUAUUUUUUAUUCAAAAAUUCCGAAAAAGUUCUUUUUUAAACAAAUCUUAAUAAUUUAAAAUAAUACAUAUUAAAAAAUAUAAUUUUAAAAUUUCUCAUCGGGAAUAGUGCAAUAUUUUCAAUGAAAAUCAUUAAAAUCCAAUAAAUAUGACAUUUAAUCUUAGAUUAUUGUUAUUAUACAAAUACUUUAUUAAUAUUAAAAAAUAUUAUUUACAAAAAAUUAAAAUUCAAUGGUAAAUAAUAUUGAGAACACUUCCAAGGGUUGCUAAGUUGAAAAGCUCUAGCCUAGGCAUUGUAGCAGAUACUUUAUUAAUAGGGACCCGUGACUGCCUUACUCUAGGAUUUGCAGACCUAGGGAAUGACUGUCAGUAACUCUUGUAGCGACAGGUUGGUGAAGAUCAACCCAAUACAUCUGGAGGUAGUUGAUCCCUGUGUCGAAACUCGCUUUGCUCUUCUUCCAUCUAUCUUCAUUCAAGUCAUGAAGGUCAUAAUCAAGUCACAACAGAAAAAAAGGAAAAGUCAAAGAUUGAGGGUUACCUUAUAUCACUUUCCUUGCAACUUGGAUUAUUAUGCAAAACCUAAACACAAAAUCAAAGGCAACCAAAAAGAAAAAGGAAAGACGUAAUAUAGGAAGAGAAAGGUAGGAAUAGAAUAAAACAACGUAAGUAUCUAUUGUUGUAACCCAAUUUUGUUCGUAACCCAAACAAAGACAAAAUAAAUAAAACUCAAAUUACAAGCCCAAACCAAUACAAAAUCCCAAAGCCCAAUAGGCCACAACCUAAACUUUUUUUAAAAAAACUGAAAACCCUAGAUCCCCUAUGCGCUGCUGCUCUUGGCCACAUCAGUAGAUGCGACGCUUGAGGACUGCCUCCCCUAUCAUCAUUUCACCGAAAUGGCAAGGGUGCGACUCCCAUCGUCGUUGACCACCAUCGCGACUUGCAAAGAAGAAAGAAAAAGACAGAAGCAGAAAAAACAAAAACAAAUAUUUGUAAUCACUCGGCUAUAAAAGCCGAAUAAUCAAAUUGCAAUAGACACGAAGAAAAAGCAAAGAGAUAUAAAAAUUUCCAGUUCUAAAAAGGUCGUUGAAUCCUUGGGGAUUCGCUGAAAGGCAGCGUCGAAGGAGAGCCAGGAACCUAAAUGUCCCUUUUACUUUUUCGAAUUCUGGCUAGAUUUUAGGGAUUUCGGCCUUAGAUUCGAGUUCUUCACGAAACUGAGAUAAAAAAAGGGGUUUUUUUACAACUCUGGUCACCGAAGGUUACGCCUACCGUCGCUGAUGACCGAUGGCCAUGACGGAGUGCCAACGGCCUAGUGGGCGAAUUCAAGGGUGAUUUCAGAGAAAAAAAGAAAAGAAGGAAGCUUUUAAAAAAAAAUGUGUAGAAAUGUUUUUUAUUAUAUUUUUUACUUAAAUAGGGCACAUAAAUAAAGCCGUUUUGUCGUGGCCCUAAAUGCCCCAAAAUGAUGUCGUUUUGGGGUCAACCCGAUGACCCGACCCAGAUUCCCUUAAGAUCCACAUGUUUUUAAAGAGGAGGGUCUAAUUUAUUAAAGGAACCUUUUGUCCUUUUUUCUUCUGUAUUGUAAUCACAACAUGUGAAUAAAUAUAUAUUAGCACACAACACUAAAGAUAAAUCGAAUAAAAAUGGUGCCAAAACCUCUCAUUUAAAAAAAAAAUACAAUUUCACAAAAAAUUAAAGAAAUAAAUAAACUAGGGUCAGAUCGAAUCGAACUUAGGUAUACUACUAAUUUUCGAUUUUGGGUUUGGAGAGUGUUAAAUUUUUUUUUAAAGUCGGGGUUGGGUUGGGUCAAGGUAGGGCAUGGCAGUAGAGCAUCAUGUCGUUGUCAGGGCAAGUAAAAAAUUUCUCCACCCCGUUCCCAUCACUAGUUAAUCAAUGGGUUAUAAAGGGCUAAAAAUGAUUUUUUUAAAAAUAUUUUUAAAUUUUUUAGAGUUACAACUAAAUUGAAAAAUUUUGUAAAUGUUGAAAGUUAAAUUUAUUUAAUUUUUUAGAAUUAGAACUAAAAUGUCAAAUUUUGUAAGCAUUGAGGGCUAAAAAUUGUUGACUUUUUAUAUUUAGGAUCAAAUUUAUAGAAUGUGUAAUCAUUAGAGGGAUAAUUUUGUUAUUAGACCAAUAAGCAAAAGCCCCUGCCAACUAAAAAUGGCUAAAAUAUUUAAUUUCGAAAAAUUUAGUGAUUAAAUCAAAAAAAUUAAUAGUUGGGUGACCAAAUAGAACAAAAGCAAAGUUGAAUAGCCAUUUUCAUAGUUUACCCAUAAAAAAAAUAAUUUUCAGCAUCUUCCAUUGUAAAUAAAAAAUCAAACCGAUGGGCUAAUUUACACUUUUCAAAAUGUAUAAAGAUUAAUUUACUAAUUUUUUUUAGUAAAAAGACUGAAAUAUAAUCCGCCCCUAAGUACAAGAGUUUAUAAAACACAUUGAUCAAGUUGUAAAUUGGAAGAUAAUGCGCCACAUCUUCCCACAUUAACAUCAAUACCCAUACCAAUUAUUUAAAUUUUGCUUAACUUCAAUUAUCUAUUUGAGUUCCAAUGCUUCACAAUCCACCCGUAACUUCAGUUAUCAGAAAAUUAGUCUAUAUUAAGUAGAUAGUUAUCAGAAAAUAAAACAAAUAUUAAUUAUCAAACCAUUCAGCAUGAAGCAUUUCAAUGGAACAUGGAAGAUUAAAUGACAACAAAGAUUAAUAUCAUCUAUCAUAACAAAACACAUAAAAAGAUACAAGUUUGGUUUGAAUUGAAACCCUAACUUGGCAAAUUAUAAUAGAAAGAGCCCACCAGAGACUGCUUUGACUAUUGUUGUUCUUCUUCCUCGCGCUUCGCUGCUUCUUUAAUCUCAUCAUCAUCCUAAUUAAUGAAAGAAUAAUCAAUUAAAUUAUUUUAGAAGUAUCAAUUUUGUUUUGGGCCAGAAGUAUAGGUGGAAAUUUUAUUGACCUGCAUGUCGGAGGUCCACAGAGUGAGAUUGUCACGUAGCAGUUGCAUGAUGAGGGUGCUGUCUUUGUAUGAUUCCUCCCCUAGUGUAUCCAACUCAGCUAUUGCUUCAUCAAACGCCUGUUUUCCAAUCACAAUCCAACACGUCAGCUACUCGCCAUUUCUGAACUUAAAAAAAAAAAACGAGUAGGUAACCGACCUGUUUAGCCAGUUCGCAAGCGCGAUCAGGAGAAUUGAGAAUCUCGUAGUAGAAAACAGAGAAAUUGAGGGCUAGACCGAGUCGGAUCGGGUGAGUUGGAGCCAACUCGGCGUUGGCAAUCUCCUAAGAAACAGAGAAAGAAGGUUCAGCACGGACAUUUUCAUUAAAAAAAGUAGUUCUCUAAGAGAAUGGAGUCGGAAAGUGGAAACCUGAGCGGAUUUGUAGGCAGUGAGAGUACUCUCAGCAGCUUCCUUACGUUCGGCGCCAGUUUUGAAUUCAGCCAAAUACCUGUGAUAAUCUCCCUUCAUCUUAAGAUAAAAGACCUUUGAAUCUCCACCGGAAGGCGAAGGGAUGAGUGUGGUGUCAAGGAGUUUCAAGAUCCCGCCACAGAUCGAGGAGAGCUCGGACUCGAUCUUAGCCCGGUAAUCACGUAUAACGGCCACGUGAUCCUCGUUACCACGGCUCUCCUCUUUCUGCUCAAUGGAGGAGAUGAUGCGCCACGAAGCACGGCGUGCGCCGAUCACGUUCUUGUAAGCAACGGAGAGGAGGUUGCGUUCUUCGAUGGUGAGUCCCUCGUUGUCGGCGGCGGAAGCCGAGACUUUCUCCAUGAAGUCGACCAUUUCCUCGUAGCGUUCGGCUUGCUCAGCGAGUUUCGCCAUGUAGACAUUUUCUUCGCGAGUGGCGGCGGCCAUUGUGGAUUUUCGAAUCAAGUUAGAGGGAAGAGAAGGUUUUUUGAAAAUUUUAGAGGGUGAGAAAUGUGGCAGUGAUGGGGAAGAAGAAAUGUGGAGUGAUAGAUAUAGGAGGCAAAAAGGACAGGGAUUAAAAAGGUCAAGUUGCCAAACACGGACUUUUCAGUUUUCUGAGCUGUUUUGAGCAUAUCAACAGCUGCUCUCUGUUACUUUCUUCUUCUUUUUUGUGUUCAAAUAUCUCAUAAGUCCCUCUACUAUUUAUAAAUUUAAAUUUUAGUUAUUAUACUUUUAUUUCUAGGAUUUAAUCCCUCUACUUUUCAGAUUUAAAAUUCAGGUCCAACAGUUAAUAAUGGGAAAAUUAUUUUGUUAAAUUCAGUAUCAUUACAUCACCAUUUUUUCAUUACAUUGUUAACACGGGAAUUUUUUUUAUUCUUUCAAAACAUCACACAACCAAAUUUAACAAUAAAAAUUUAAAAGUAUUCGCAAUUAUCAAUUAGAAUUAAAUUUUUAAAAAUAAAAAUAUAGGGACUAAAUUUUGAAUUUAUAAAGAGUAUAAAGACGUAAAGUAUAUUUUUUUUGUGUUUUUGCUUUUUGACGGUGGAAAGAUGAGUUUGAAUUUUGAAACUAAUGGGUUUGUUCUAUGCAAUAAUUAUUACAACUGCACGGGAUAGAUUUACUGUUUGUUUAGUAAGUUCUUUUUAGAAGAAAAAAUAUGUUAAAUAAAUUAUUUUUUGUUUUUCAAAAGUAUUUUUGAAAUCAGAAAUUAGAGAUUUAACCGAUGGCAUGAUUGAAAAUGUCUAAAAUUGUUUCAAUUUGAUAAAAAAAAAACAGGAAAAUUUGGUUAAAAUUUGAAAAAAAAAAGAUUUUUUUAAUUCUAAUAAAAAGAUAAUGGCAGAAAUUAGCUUAUACUUUACCAAACCUUCCAAAUUUGUGGAAUGUGAUAGCUGAAAAAAGUUUAGGAUUUGAAUGGUAGGGAUGUAGAGGAGGUACACUGUCAUGAGCAUGUAGUGGUCCAAUGGUAGAUGGUGACGGAUGAUGUUUUUUUUUUUUUGAAACUUCGCUUAAAUUUCUGUGAAUUUCAUUUUUUUGUUGUUUUUGAGGAAAUUUAAAUUAAGAAAGAGAAAUGGUAAGAUAACUUGUUCGCUUGGCAGUUUAAUAGUAACAUAUAAAUGGUCAACUUUAGGUGUCUUCGUAAAUAUUAAUUUUAAUAAUAAAAUUUUUAUUUAUUUUUUUUACUUAACAGAUAUCUGAACUUAAAAUCCUUCACACUUUAAUAUUUGUUAACAUGCGAUAACGUGACAUUGACAAUCAAUAGUAUAACAUCCUAAAAUUAUGCUACAUGACAAACAUUAAUUAAUAAAAUAUAAAACUCUAAAAAAUAUUUAAACAAGUGGGUGUCUAAAAUAAUUAAAUGGAUGUAUUUUUAGUAAUUUUAUCCAUUUUACUUUUUUUUUUAAAAAAUUUGAUCUCACGGAAGUAAAUGCUUUUUACAUUUUAUAGUUGAUUUUUUGAGUUUUUUUUUUUUUAAAUUUACGAAGUGCUCUCAUCAAUUUAGCCACCAAUUUGAUUUUGACAAAUAUGGUUUUUAGGAACUUUUUCCUUUAGCUCGCCAGAUUUAGGGUUUUUUACAAAAAUAAUAUAAAAAAAUUAAAAAUUACUAAAAUGUUAUAAUUUUUUUUAUUUACCAAAAUAUAUAUAAAUUUUUUUAUUUACCAAAAUAUAUAAAAAAACAAAAAAACCAAAAAAAAAACCUGGACUGAUUUGACAACUCCCUGGGACAAGGGAACACUGUUGGCGGCACCAAACAAGGGAACCCUGUUGGCGGCACCAAACAAGGGAACCCUGUUGGCGGCACCAAACAAGGGUUCCCUGUUGGCGGCACCACUCGUGUUAUAAACACGAACUCUGUCCAGCUGAAACAAGAAAAAUCAGAAGAAAAAGAAAAGAAAGAAGAGGUGCUGCGGAAAAAAAGAGAGAAAGAGAAGAGAGAAAGAAGUUAUUUUUUAAAAAAUAAUUGAUUAUUUUGUUGUUAUUGUUUUGUAUAAUUUGUAUUUUUUUUAGUUUAGUUAUUAAAAUUAAAAUCAAUAAAACUCAAAUUAAUAGUUUUAGUUAGGGUUUUAUUAUCAAAAUAUUACAAAAAAAUACAAACGUGUUAAUGUACAAACAUGUGCCAUGGGAUCUGCAUCAUGCUGGGCCAUGGUUAUUGUUCAAUUUCUUUUUACCAAUAUAAUUAUUUUAAAGUUGCAUNNNNNNNNNNNNNNNNNNNNNNNNNNNNNNNNNNNNNNNNNNNNNNNNNNNNNNNNNNNNNNNNNNNNNNNNNNNNNNNNNNNNNNNNNNNNNNNNNNNNGCCUCCAUUUUCGAUAUAAUAUUAAUAAUUCCAAACGCCAUAUACUAUUUUAUAACUUAAUUUGGAUACAAUGUAAUCAUAACCAUUUGUAUAGUUUUUAUCAUUACACAUAAAAAUUUUACAAUAUUAGGUCAAUUACGACCCGAUCCGGACGACUGUCCAACAUGAAAGUUUCGGUUAGGGCAUUUAUUCCGACUAUGACCACUUAACCUGCAUAAUCCACAACGCUUUCCGUCAGACUUCUCCCUGAUGUCUAUUUCAUUACGGAUUCUGCUUGACUGCGGACGACCUCUCAGAUUCCUCCGCAGCCCUCUGUCUGGGAGAAGCUCGAAAGUAGUCAAAGGCACCUCCCACGUUGAUAGGUCAGGCAAGACGGGGAACUCAUUUUCCCAGACACGCAAUGUGCGCUCCAGCGUGUACACAUCAUCGACAUAUUGUUCAACAUUGACGUUAACUUUAGCACACGCUGCCACGGCAUGCGCACAGGGAUAAUGAAGUGUUUCGAACCUUCUGCACUCGCACCGUCGGUUUCGGAGAUCAACUUCGUAAGACCUAGUUGGUAUACCAGGUCGACGACUGAUGCUCUCAGUAACUUGAAAUGUUUCCAGUCGUCGUGAAUAUAUUUCUACAUUCAUUGACCUUGCCAACCGACGGUUUACGACCAUUGUAUCCCUGACAUGUUCGACAAACACGUAUCCCGCCUCAAUCUGGUCGACUUGCUGCUGAGCCAUUCUUGGUAUCAAAGUAGCUAGCCUGUAGAAAGUAGCAGAAAAUACAGAUGCAAUCGGAAGAUGACGUGUUUUUAACAAAACAGCGUUGAUCCCCUCGACUAAGUUUGUGGUCAUUUGGCCAUAACGAAAGCCCUCGUCAAAACUUUGAGCCCAUUGCCACGGCUCCAUUGUGCCCAACCAUUGUCGGAAAGAUGUGUUUGUCUGCCCCUCCAUGUCACUCUCAAGUCGAAUCAUUUUUUGCCGGAACAUAUGUGGCUCUAACUCGUACGCUGCAUACGUAUUAAGAAAAAUAAGUUCUAGUAACUCCAUAACAUGAAACAUUACAACUUAUAUUGAAAAUAUAAGGUUAUCAUUUACGCAUUGCCACGACUUGUCUCUUCCAGUCUGCAUUCUUGUAAUCUUUGUGGAAGUUAGCCGCAAUGUGACGGAUGCAGUAAACGGAUCUCCACGGCACACCGGAACGCCUGAUUGCUGCAAUUAAACCCUUCCCUCUAUCGGAGAUGAUGCAAAUGUUAUCGUUGUUAAUAACAUACCUCCGUAGGUUUGUGAGGAAGAAUUCCCAAGACUCCAUGUUCUCUUUAUCUACGAUAGCAAAUGCUAUCGGGAGCACGUUUCUGUUGCCGUCUUGAGCAACUGCAAGAAGUAGGAUCUGUGUAUAUUUUCCAUACAGCCAAGUCCCAUCUACCUGCACAAGUGGCUUGCAGUGGGGAAAUGCCCGCACACAUGGAUUGAACGUCCAGAACAUCCGAUGGAAAAUCCUUUUUGCCGGCUGUAACUGGUCAUCCGGGCCGUAAUAUGGUCUUGUCUGCAACUCAAUCACAGUCCCCGGUACAUACUCCCGCAUAGCAGCUAUCCAACCUUGAAGCUCGUUAUACGAUGAAUCGUAAUCUCCAUACAGUUGCUUCAUCACCAUCUGUUUAGCAAUCCAUGCCUUUCGAUAUGAGACUCGAUACUGGAAUCGUGCUUGCAUUUCGAUAAUCAGUACCGAAACUUUAAUGGUCGGCAUGUCCUUCACCAUUGGCAUAAUACACGUACAGAUUGUUUUUGAAUCAAGUUUUCUAUGAUCUUCUGUCAUACGUGUUGAUGUGCAUGUAUGAGGACCAACAAAUUUUCGUAUCUCCCACAUCUGAGAACUUUUAAUGAAUGCAGCUCGCACCCGCCAAUUGCAGUCUUCCGCUGCCUUUCAACACUCCCCAACAUAUAUUGUCGGAGUAGACACUGUGACUUUAUAAUCAACUGAUAUAUUCAUGAUGUAUCGUUUGAUGGCAUAUACGCACUCUUCUUUACAGCUGAAUCUCUGGCCUAUGAAUAACUCCUCAUCAUCAGAUGUUACGGCCAGCCCGUGACGAUGAACUAUUUCAGGGUACUCUGGGAACUCAACUACAUACGCUGCGUCGGGGUCUAUGAGCGACAUGUGUGGCCCAGGAUUAUUGUGUAUCAAAAUAUGCCGCAUCUGCUCCCCGAUCAAAGAAGCGUUAAUGUCUUCAUCGUCAAUAUCAUCAAGUACAUCGUCCACAUCGGGAUCACCGUCACUAUCGACCUCUUCAUCCCAACGAUCACCACCACCUUCUUCUUCGCAACCACAUUCUUCUUCACCACCAACCAUAUCAACAUCGGAUGUAAUAUUCACGUCGAUACCGAUCCCACCUAUAGUUGAUUCACUAUCAACGUAUGAUAUUGGAGCCACCAUCCGCGGUUCUUCAGCCCCGUCUUCUUCAUCAGAUGCAUUUUGCUCCAUACCGACUAACUCAGUAAAUAAGUGAAUCGGUGCAUUCUUGUCACUCCCGUUCCCACAGUAGAGAUCGACCAUUGUCUCAACGUCUUCGUCAUCUGCAAGUUCCAUUUCGACGAAUUUGACUGGAUUUGUCGAAACUGGAAACUUGUAGAAAAUUUUUACUAUCCUUCUCCCACAACGUCUUAAAAUUUUUGCAUUAAUCCUUGNNNNNNNNNNNNNNNNNNNNNNNNNNNNNNNNNNNNNNNNNNNNNNNNNNNNNNNNNNNNNNNNNNNNNNNNNNNNNNNNNNNNNNNNNNNNNNNNNNNNNNNNNNNNNNNNNNNNNNNNNNNNNNNNNNNNNNNNNNNNNNNNNNNNNNNNNNNNNNNNNNNNNNNNNNNNNNNNNNNNNNNNNNNNNNNNNNNNNNNNNNNNNNNNNNNNNNNNNNNNNNNNNNNNNNNNNNNNNNNNNNNNNNNNNNNNNNNNNNNNNNNNNNNNNNNNNNNNNNNNNNNNNNNNNNNNNNNNNNNNNNNNNNNNNNNNNNNNNNNNNNNNNNNNNNNNNNNNNNNNNNNNNNNNNNNNNNNNNNNNNNNNNNNNNNNNNNNNNNNNNNNNNNNNNNNNNNNNNNNNNNNNNNNNNNNNNNNNNNNNNNNNNNNNNNNNNNNNNNNNNNNNNNNNNNNNNNNNNNNNNNAUAAAUUUUUAUUUUUUUGUAAUAUUUUGAUAAUAAAACCCUAACUAAAACUAUUAAUUUGAGUUUUAUUGAUUUUAAUCUUAAUAACUAAACUAAAACAAAAAAAAAUACAAAUUAUACAAAAUAAUAACAAUAACAUAAUCAAUUAUUUUUAAAAAAAUACCUGAUUUUUCUCUUCUUUUUCUCUCUUUUUCUCUUUUUUUCCGAACCACCUCUUCUUUCUUUUCUUUUUCUUCUGAUUUUUCUUGUUUCGGCUGGACAGAGUUCGUGUUUAUAACACGAGUGGUGCCGCCAACAGGGAACCCUUGUUUGGUGCCGCCAACAGUGUUCCCUUGUCCCAGGGAGUUGCCAAAUCAGUCCAUUUUUUUUCUGUUUUUUUUGGUUUUUUUGUUUUUUUUGAUAUAUUUUGGUAAAUAAAAAAAUUAUAUAUAUUUUGGUAAAUAAAAAAAUUAUAACAUUUUGGUAUUUUUUAAAUUUUUUUAUAUUAUUUUUGUAAAAAACCCCAGACUUAUUUUGGAUGAGCGUCCAUGGCAUCAAUUACUUUAAGUUAGAAUUAUUUCUAUUGCCACAACGGUAACUAUAUGCAUAAAGACUCAUGCAUCACAGUUUUAUUUCUUUAACAGUUGAGAGUGUCGUAUGAUUGUAAUGAUCGUGAAAACAUCUUGGAGUCUCUUUUGUCACCUACUUAUUAACAAAUAAGCUGACUUGGUUUUGAAUUGGGUCAAAUUUACCAAUUUAAAAUUUCGAAUUCAGUCAUCAAAGAUUAAAAGCAUGAUUCAAAGCAUUACAAGUUAUUUGUUUGAAUUAUUUCAUAUUUGAGUGAUUUUUAAGUACAUAUAAUUCAAAUAAAGCAAAUUCAAAUAGUUAGGCAGUAUUUAGAAAAGUCAUGCAAUAAUUAAAUUUGGGUGUAAUUGUUUGUAAUUACACAAAUGUAGUAUGUGAAGGUAAUCAUUGUCAUUGCAAGGUCCCAUCGAACUAGAUGCAGUGGAGCAUCCAAUUACAUUUUUCAAUUCUUAAGAGUGAGAAUUAGAAUAAUUACACAGGUAAGUACACCCAAAUUUAAUUUUAAAAAAAUAUUAUUAUACAAGUUAUAAAAAUUACAUUAUACUCAUGGACAUGUAUGAGUGUUUGGGAUAAUUAUGGUAAAAAAAAUUCUUAUAUUAUAUAUCCUAGAAAAUCAAUUAUAACAAUAAUUUGUGUGUUUUACAAAGUUAUAACAAAAAAAUUAUUAGAUCUUGAUAAAUUUUUAAAGUUAUAGCAAAAAAGUUUAUUGUAAAAAAUAAUUUACACAACCAAGAAAUAUGAAUAUAACUUAUUUAUGUAUCCAUGCUAUUUAUUCAUAAAAAUAAUAUGCUUAUAAUUUUUUUUAUCUUAACUUAUUUAUAAAAAAAUAGUUUUCUAAAUUUACCGUAAAAAAUAUUAUUUAUAAGAAAUGUUAUGAAAGUUUUGGACAAUUUAUAAUUAUUUUGUAAAGAUUAUAUAUUAUUUUUACUUAAUAUAUGUAAUGUUAAAAGGGACAUGACCUAGUAUAAGUUUGUCACCAAAUUAAGUUUAUGUAAGUUAUCAUAAUUAAAGCUGCAUAUUAUUUAAACUAUGAAUUCAAAUAUUAUAAGGUCAAUACGAAUUAUGCAAAUAGAAAAUAUUUUCUUGCACCAUAUUGUAAGGUAUAAUAUCAUUUGAGAAAAUGGGGUCAGGCACAAUUACCAUAAGCAACUCAGGAAAACUCUUUAGUUUGAGACAUUCAAAAUUUUAAAAUGUGGUUGAGAAGAUAUUUAUUGUUUUAAAAAAAAUAGUUUUCGUAUUAACAAAAUCACCUUAGUAUAGCAUAAAAAAAUGUUGAAUCGUACUAGCAUAUCACAUGUUUCACAAUUUUAUCAUAUAUGGAAUUAAAAUAAUUCAUACUUUGAAGAGUACAUGGAAGAAAAAGAUAUUAAUAAUCUUAACGAUACAGAUGCAGAUGCAAAUUCAGAUGAUGAGGAGUUCGACCAAGGACCAACAAAUGAUGAUAAGGAGCAUAUGUUAAAUAUUAAAAAGAGAAUAAUCCAACAAAUACGCAUUAAAACAAUUAGAUAAAAUUGCAAAUGAUUUUUAUUUUUCUUGUUAUUUUUAUCCGUAAUUGUAUUAUCAAUUACCUUUUUAAACCAAUAUAAUUGCAUAUGAUGAUUUAAUUUUAAUUUUUAUUACUUAUUUAAAAAUUAUUUUUAUCAUACUAAUAAUUUUUAUAAUUUAAAAUAUAAAAUUUGUAACUCUAUAAUUACAAUUCUCAAAGGUCAAAACUCAGCCUACUAUUCUUGUCCACGUGUAUGGUAAUGAUAGAAAGGAAAGAAUCAUUCCAAUGAUCCAGUGGAACACAUUAAAAUUGCUCUACCGUGGGGUUUAAAUUAGAAAGAGGGAACUCGUUUUUGAAAACCCUAAGCAGAAGGAAGAAAUCGAAGUGAUUUGAGCCACCGCCUCUGCUCCGCCGCCAGCCAUGAAGGUUCUAUCUCUCAACCAUGAAUGUAUCUUGCUUACACAAAAAAAAAAAAAAGCUUUUCGAAGUUUAAAAUUUAACCGUGCACCCUUUCUUUUUAUUGUUGUUUUUUCCUCUUUGCAGUUCAAUAUCGCCAACCCCACUACGGGAUGCCAGAAGAAGCUAGAAAUCGACGAUGACCAGAAACUGUAAGUUUCCUUGCUUAUCUCUUUAUAUAUUAUAUGCUUAUCUUUCAAUUUUCUUUAGCUUUAUUUUGGAACUUGAAGUUGGCAUGCUUUAAGUGAAGGUAGGUGUUGAACCAAUAAAGAUAAUGAAGACCUUUUGUAACAUGUUGAUAUGGUUUAUAUUGCUUAAAUUUUUUUUUGCAUAGGCAUUUCUUUCCUGGAUAAUUGAAAUGUUUUAUUCCAAAAUAAUCAGCAUUUGUAGCCAAUUUUUUAGCAUACUAGUGUCUUAGGUUAUUUCCGUAACUGACACAAAGAACCUUUUUUUUUUUUUGUUUUUCCCAUUUGAUUUAAUUACUAUAUGAGGAGAACUAGCUUGAACAGCAGAACCAGUUCGCCUAAAAAGCUCAUUUGGGUUUCUUUAUGCUUUCUAAAGUUCAAUAGGUGGCGUAGCUAACAGUUGUAACUCGUGAUUUGUUAAUUACAAUGUUUGAGUUUGAGCUGGGCAAUGACAUUUUGAAUUUAAUUUAUUAUGAACUUGUAAUUUGUGUUUAAUGUGGUGUAAUGGAUAAUGAUAUGGUGUGACUAAGACCAUUGCAGGUUAUGGGGGAAGCAGUUGGUCUUGUUUAAAGUACUUAUGCCUCGUUUGGUUACUAGUGUAAUUUGUGUUUAAAGUACUUAUAACUCAUUGGGUUACUUAUGCCUCGUUUGUUCACCAUGGAUUUCUUGUUUUUAUACUGUACAGCCGAGCAUUUUUUGACAAGAGAAUCUCACAAGAGGUCAUCGGAGAUGCUCUUGGAGAGGUAUGCUUUUUCCAAAAUUGGAUCCAAUGGAGUCUUAUUGUUUGUUCUUAGUUUCAUAAAAGACGUUUUACUUUUUUGGCAGGAAUUCAAGGGCUAUGUUUUCAAAAUCAAGGGAGGAUGUGACAAGCAGGGAUUCCCAAUGAAGCAAGGAGUGUUAACUCCUGGUCGUGUCCGUCUCUUGCUCCACAGAGGUUGGCCCUUACUGUUUAAUGCCAUCUGAAGGAUUGAACUUGUCUGAUGGUAGCAAUUUUACUGGCAUUUAUGUUAUGGUCUGUAAGUCAUAGUUUUUUCUCUCCAGGGACCCCUUGCUUCCGAGGAUAUGGUAGGCGCAACGGAGAGAGGAGGAGGAAGUCUGUUCGAGGAUGCAUUGUGAGUCAAGAUCUCUCUGUUCUCAACUUGGUAAUUGUGAAAAAGGGGGACAAUGAUCUUCCUGGGCUCACUGAUACUGAGAAACCAAGAAUGAGGGGUCCCAAGAGGGCAUCAAAGAUUCGUAAGCUCUUCAAUCUCUCAAAGGAGGAUGAUGUCCGGAAGUACGUCAACACUUACCGUCGAUCUUUCACGACAAAAUCAGGUAGGGUUUCAAGUAUUAUCAUCUCUUGUACGAUUAAUGUUGACAGUCGAUCUUUAAAGGGGUCGAGCUAUUUCAAGCUAAAAAUGCAUGCGUUGUUUACAUUGCCUAUUGCAGUGGUGUUUAUGCCUAUUAGAUACUUGAUUUUAUAUUUUUUCUCCCUGCAAUACAGGAAAGAAAGCCAGUAAAGCUCCCAAGAUCCAGAGAUUGGUAACUCCAUUAACUUUGCAGAGGAAGAGAGCAAGAAUAGCUGAGAAAAAGAAGAGAGUUGCAAAGGCAAAGGCCGAUGCUGCGGAGUACCAGAAGCUACUUGCCCAGAGAUUGAAGGAACAGAGAGAACGACGUAGCGAAAGUUUAGCCAAGAAAAGAUCCAGACUUUCUGCUGCAUCUAAACCGUCAAUUGCAGCUUAAUUUCAGCUCACUUAAAACCCAGUCAGAUUAUGAUAUCGUGUUGAAAACAAAUCAAAAGGAACAUGUUUGAUUUUAGAUUUUUCAUGUUUGAAAGGUUUAACAACUCUGUUUGGAAGUGUGCUCUGACAUUGCUGAAUUUACACUAUUCUUUGAUUCAAAAUUUGACAAUUCACUCAAGGCAGCAAUUUACACUAAUAUUUGAUUCAAAUAUUAAGAGUUCAAAUUCUUAUUAACAAGCACAUUGCACUCUUGAAGGAAAGAUUCAAGUUUGAACUUUGGAGAUACAUUGAUGGAAGGGGCAGCCACGGAAAUGAAGAAUAUUAAAAAAAUAAAAUUUCUUAUUAUUUGUUAAAAUAUCAAAAAAUAAAAUUUCUUAUUAUUUGUCAAAAUAAUUGCAUUUAACAUUUAUACUAGGACGUAUAUAUAUAUAAUUGAAAUUCAAGGAAAAUAUGAGAAUGGAACAACAAAUUUCAUAGUGGUAAAUAAAAUAGAAACAAGUUCCACAUGAUCAUCCCAACUAUUCUUCUCUAGAAUAGGUCUCCAAAGCUUUAACUUGGGGCACUUUUGUUUAAGGAACUGAUGAUCAAGUUCCACACCAAUGCAACCUACUAUAUCCAAAAACUCAAGCUGGGGACACCCAGAAAAAAUGCUUAGAACAAUUUCAGUGCUGAUAGGAUAUAAACCCAACUCGAGUAGGUGCUUUAGCCUAGGGAUUGUUGUAGCUAUUGCAUUCGCCUGAUCGUCGGUUGGGAAAGUGAUAGCCGAAUCCAGUAGGUGCUAGUUGCGGCAGAGUGACAAGAAAUUUACAGUCCUUUCCAAUGGCCUUUAUAGUAUAGGCAUCUAUUUUGCGACAGUAACUCAAUUCUAGGAAAGUGAUUGUGGAGAGCCUUUGGGCGCUUUGGUCUACUAUCCAACCACUCAUUUCACUUCGUGGCAGUCGUAAAACCUGAAGGGAGCCAGCACUUGCAGAUGCAAGGGCAAGAAAGAAAAGCAUCAUUUCACAUCAAGGUUAAUAAUUUAAUAGCGUAAAAGGGUGUCAUUAAUGAGCUGAGACUCACUACAUUACUGAGAAAAGCAAUUGUGAAAAAGGGUAAGAGCAAGUAAAACUUCUUUGUGAUGAAUGAGAAAAUGGUAUCAUUCUGAAGACCUGAAACAUGUAGGCUGCGGAGAGAUCCAUUGCUUCUUGUGAUUAGCAUUGGAAGCAUCCGAUCAAGAUGGUGGGACCGGCAGCGACGGCUCCAUUUAGCAAGGUCUAUAUCUUGACGACAAUAGGGACCUGUGAUUGCCUUUCUCCAGGAUUUGCGGACGCAGGGAAUGAUUGUUGGUAACUCUUGUAAGGACAGGUAACUGAAGAUCAGCCCCAAUACAUCAGGAAGUAGUUCAUCCCAGUGUAGAAACUCGCUUGCUCUUCUUCCAUCUUAUCUUCAUUCAAGCCAUGAAGGUCAUAAUCAAAUCACAACAAGCAGCCUCAGUCUAGAUAUUCACACCAUGCAUUUAUGUCUUCUUCAACUAAACGUUUACUGUGAGCUUAAGUCAUCAGAUGUUUUGUGUGCGUUCAAGGAACAGAGUAUUUGAAAGAUCAUCGUGGAUCAUUGCUGAAGGUGAAAAUGGAAAAGCUGAUACGUUGGACAUGAGUCAUUUGGUAUUUUGUGUUUAGAAGGAAAGGUUGAGCUUGGGUUUUUUUUAGAAGUUUGACAAAUAUAAUAUACCACAAUUACAAGUACAGGUACAAAUUAUAAAUUCAAAACAAUGGUAUCUAAAAUAAACCAAUACAAUUUAGAGGACAAUGAAUCGAACAAUGUCAGAUAAAACCUACCCAUAGCAUAUGCAUAUGGUGAGAGAGAGACUUACACAUUAUAAAUACAGAUGGUGAGACUUAAAUUUGGGCCUUCAACCUCAACCUUUGUCAAUAAUAUCAAAACCUCGUUGAUAGUUAAAUUUAUAUAUAUAUAUAUAUUUAUCUUAUAAAGCCUACAAAAUUAUCAUGGGUUUAGGGUUAUAAAAAUAUUUAUAAAACAAUGAUGUAAAAAACAGUUAAGGUGUUGGUUGAAAUGGUGAAAUGGAAGGUAAGGUAUUACAGAGGCUCUUUGUAUUAGGAGUUAGAUUGCAUUUUGUCAUUUUUACUAAAAACGGGUAAAUUAGUUUUUGUACAUUAGAUCAAAGAGUAAUAUGGUCAUUCUAUUAAAAAUUUCAUUCAUUUCUAUUGUUAAAAACUAGUCCUUAUACAUCAAAAUGAGGUAAACGUGACACUAUCUGAUUAUUUUAUCAGCUAUGCUAGUUUUUGACAGUAGAAAUGAAUGAAAUUUUCAAUGAAAAAACUAGUUUACUCUUUGAUCUAACAUAUAUAGAUUAAUUUGCCUACUUAUUGAGUAAUGGGUGCAAAAUGCAACUAGACUCCUAAUACAUGCGUUUCUGUGGUACUUUUACUUAAAAUGGAGAUAUUGAUAAUUAUAAUGUUUUAGAGGUUCAAAUCUCAUUAUGUACAUGUAUUUUUCUAGAUUCUAUAUAAAAAUACAAAACACCCUUAUAAUAAUAUUUGUUAAUUUAUUAAUAUAUUUUUCUUUGUAAUUUCUCAACUAAAUUGGAGGAACACGAUUGAUAGGUGACACUAACUUUAUCAACCACUUAAAGAAUAAUAUAUAUAUUGUUGAUACAAAGUACAACACAGAAGAACAAUGAGAAGAUUAUGGUGGCCUAAAUGAGGAGAUGAGGAGAAGGCUAUGAGGAUAGAGGAAGUUUUGUUGUAAAGAGUACUCAAGGACUGAUUAAGGGCUAAAAAGAUUUUCCUCAUUGCUUGGGAGGAUAUUUAUAGGAGAUGAUCUUUUGUCUGCUAGUGUGACGUGGCGAGUUGUUACAAUGAAGAUGGUUGUCACGGAGUAUGUGAAGUUAUUCUUUUAAAAACUAUGAGUUGGUUAUGCCCAAGUGAAUCCCAUUGGUUGUUGAAAGAAGUGUUCACACUUGAGAAUGUUUACAAUGAAAAGCAAGUUGCUAAGGUCAAAAGGAGGAAGUGUCACCCAUAUUAGCUGAUGGUACGUAGUAGGUGAUCAGACCAAGAGGUCACUCAUUUGGAGGUAGUCGGAUGAUCGAGGAGUAUGAGUCACUCUUUCUUGUCUAGGUUGAGUCUUCAAGGUAUGCCACGUGUCUAGCCUGAGUGGUAGGAUAAUUUUUUUAUCCACAAUCAUACCAAAUUAACAUAAUUCAAUUCUUGAUUCAAACACAUAUUUUGGCAACAAUUCAAAAUAUUUAAAUUUAAAUUUCUAAAAGUAUUAAAAAGUGAUUUUUGUUGUGAAGGUGUAAGUUUAUUAGAUGUGACAUGAUCAAUAGACCAUAAUAUUUAAACAUUGGGAUGAGAGAAUGUUGCACAAAAAAAGUUCAUACGUAUCUCUUAAAUGCAUUGUGUCAAACUACUUAAUCAUGAUUUAAGAAUAAAGAUCCAUUCCCAUACUUAUCACGCUAUUUAAUCACGAAUAAAGCCACAGAUUCAAUCCAUGCAAAGACGCAGUUCCUAUAUAGGUUAAAGGUUGCUCACAAUAUGAAGAUGUUGAAAGCUGAUUUACAUAUCUAAAUACUCAUCAUCAUCGGAUUCAUCAGAUUCGAAGAGAAUGACCAGAUACAGCAGCAGAAUCUCUAACUUUGGGUACUUUUCUUUAAGGAACUUAUGAUCAAGUUUCUCACUCAAGAAUUCAUCUAUUUUCAAAUGCACAAGCUGUGGACAGCAAGAGAGGAGGUUGAGAACACAUUCAGUGCUGAUACAACGAUAAGCAAACUCAAGUUGCUUUAGCCUUGGCAUUGUAGAUGCUAUUGCAUUCGCCUCAUCCUCCGCUUCGACCUUGUCUGCUGAAUCCGGAGAGUACAUGUUGCGACACAGAACUACAAGAUGUUUACAGUGCUUUCCGAUGGCCUCUAUAGCUUGGGCACCGAUUUUGUGACAGUAACUCAAAUCCAAGAAAGUGACUAUGGAAAGCCUUCGGGCAGUUUGUUUGACUAUCGAAUCACUUAUUAAACUUCUUGGCAGUCGUAAAACCUGAAGGGAGCCAACACUUGCAAACGCAGAAAACAAAAAAACAUCAUUUUAUAUCAAGUUAAUAAUUUAAUGACGUAAAAGAGUCUGAUUAAUGAGUUGAAACUCACUACAUUACUCAGAAAAGCAAUUGUGAAAAAUGGUGAUACCAAGUGGAACUUACUUCUCUGUGAUGAAUGAGAAAAUGGAAUCAUUCUGAAGACCUGAAACAUGUAGGCUGCGGAGAGAUCCAUUGCUUCUUGUGAUUAGCAUUCGAAGCAUUCGAUCGAGUUGGUGGGACAGGCGGCGACAGCUCCGUUCAUCAAGGUCUAUAUACUGCCAACAAUGGGAACCCGUGACUACCUUACUCCAGGAUUUGCAGACGCAGGGAAUGACUGUCAGUAACUCUUGUAUGGGCAAGUUGGUGAAGAUCAGCCCCAAUACAUCAGGAAGUAGUUCAUCCCAGUGUCGAAACUCGCUUUGCUCUUCUUCCAUCUGAUCUUCAUUCAAGUCAUGAAGGUCAUAAUCAAAUCACAACAGGAAAGAAAAAUAAAUCAAAGAUUAGGGUUUACCUUAUAUCACUUUCCUUGCAACUUGGAUUAUUAUGCAAAACCUAAACACAAAAUCAAAGGCAACCAAAAAAGAAAAAAGAAAGAGGUAAUAUUGAAAGAGAAAAGUAGGAAUGGAAUAAGACAACGUAAGUAUUUAUAUAUAUACAUGUAAAAGCAUGGUGUUUAGCUGGAAAAAGAAGACGACGAAAAGGCAUGGAAGGCAGGGGUAGCUUUAAUUGCGAAAACAGGGCUACUUAAUGCCGUAAUUAGAUAUUUUGUGUGAGUUAUAAGGAACAGAGUAUAUGAAAGAUCAUGGAAAGGUUGAAAGGUUGGACAUGUGUCAUUCAAUUGUCCACAAUUAGGCUUUGAGUAUCUAAAAUCUGAAGUUUACUCUUUAUUGUUUAGAAUAAAUUUUGAACUUUUUCUUUCUUUCAUAUGAAGAGAUAUUUAAUAUGUUCCCCCCCUUAAAAGCUAAAUUUAUUUUGUUACAAAGGAUAUUUAUAGGAGAGUUCAUUUUAUUUGGUAGUAUGAUGUGGUGCAUAGUAGGACUCGUUCUGCUUUUUUAGACAAUACAAAAUUACUAUGUCCAAAUAAAUCUCAUUAGUUGCUAAAAGAAGUGUUCACUCUUGGAAAUGUUCACAGCAAAGUCUGGUUACUAAGUGAUAGUGAACGGUUCGGUGAGUCCAAGGAGAAAGUGUCUCUCAUAUUAGUUGGUGGUCUUUAGUAGAUGAUCAGAUUUAGAGGUCGCUCAUUUGGGGGCAGCAAAUGAGUCACUUUUUGUUGUCCAUGUGGAGUCUCCAUGGUAUGCCACAUGUCUAGCGUCAGUAAUAGGUAUAUAUAUUUUGAAGACUUUUUCUUUAAUGUCACUGAAAUUUAGCUAAAUGUUUAAAGUGAUACUUAUAUUAAAAAAAAAAAAAGUGAUAAAUCAACAUUUAGAGUGUGUUUGAUAAAUUAAAAAAUUAAAUGAAAUUGAAAAUUUAAGUUACAAAAUCUAUUUAGUAUAUAAAUUAAAAUUAAAUGUGGAAUUCAUUAUCUUAUUAAUAUGUUGUUAUUUAUUUUAUUUUAAAUAAUUUUGAAUCAAGUCCAAUAUAAAAUUAGAAUAUAUUAAUUUUCAAUUUUAAAAGAGGCGAGACAUUCCAAUUCCCUAAAUUUGCCCUGAGUCUCAAUUCAAGUCAAACCACUUUACAUACCUCCUAGAUAUCCAGACAUGCUAAUUAAUCACGAAUAAAGCCGCAGAUUUAAUCCAUGCAAAGACCAAGUUCCUAUAGAGGAUAAAGGUUGCCCACAAUAUGAAGAUAUGUUGAAGGUUGAAUUACAUAGCAAAACACACAUCAUCAUCGGAUUCAUCAUCUUUGCCAAAUAAGGUGAUCAAAUAUUUACAAUUUAAUUCCCGCCUUCAAAGAUUAAAUCUUCAGAAUCUGUCACUGCUUAAGACCGGAGUCAUCCACGAAAUCUCUAAAUUUGGGUACUUUUCUGUAAGGAAGUUACGAUCAAGUUUCACACUCACGCAUACAUUUUUAAUCAAACGUUCAAGCUGAUGACAGCGAGAGAGGAUGUUGAGAACACAUUCAGUGCUAAUAAGAUGAAAACCCAAAUCAAGAUGCUUUAGCCUUGGCAUUGUACCUGCUAUUGCAUUCGCCUCAUCCUCCGCCUCGACUUUGCCUAAUACAUCCAGAAACAUCAUGUCGCGACACAAAGUUUCAAGAAGUUUACAGUACUUUCCAAUGGCCUCUAAAGCUUGGGCACCGAUUUUGGGACAGCAAGUCAAAUCCAAGAAAGUGAGUGUGGAAAGCCUUUGUGCAGUUUGUUUGACUAUCGAAUCACUUAUUAAACUUCCUGAAAGUCGUAAAACCUGAAGGGAGCCAGCACUUGCAUAUGCAAGGGCAAUAAAAAACACCAUUUCAUAUCAACUUAAUAAUAUAAAGAGGUAAAAGAGUCUGAUUAAUGAGCUGGCACUCACUACAUUACUCGGAAAAAUAUUUGCUAAAAAGGAUAAGAGGAAGUGAAACUUACUUCUCCGUAAUGAAUGAGAAAAUGGAAUCAUUCCUAAGACCUGCAACAUGUAAGCUGCAGAGAGAUCCACUGCUUCUUGUGACUAGCAUUCGAAGCAUCCGAUCGAGUUGAUGGGGCUUCCAGCGAAUGCUCCAUUGAAAAAGAUCUAUAUCUUGCCAACAACGGGAACCCCUAACUACCUUACUCCAGGAUUUGCAGAUAGGGGGAAUGACUGUCAAUAACUCUUGUAACGACAGGUUGAUGAAGAUCAGCCCCAGUACAUCAGGAAGUAGUUGGUCCCAGCGUCGAAACUCGCUUUGCUCUUCUUCCAUCUGAUCCACAUUCAAGUAAUGAAGGUCACAAUCAAUUCACAACAGGAAAAAGCAAAAGUCAAAGAUUGAGGGUUACCUUAUAUCACUUUCCUUGUAACUUGGAUUAUAAUGCAAAACCCAAACAAAAAAUCGAAGGCAACCAGAAAAGAACCCCCAAAACUAAAAGAAAGAUUUAAUAUAGGAAGAGAAAAAUAUGAAUGGAUUAAGACUAGGUAACUAUCUAUAUAUACACGUAAAAAGCUGGAAAAAGAAGGAGACGAAAAGGCAUGGAAGGCAGGGGGUAGCUUUAACUUCAAUUGCGGGAAUUAGAUAAUUUGUGUGCGUUACAAGGAACAGAGUAAAUUGAAAGGUUGAAACGUUGGACAUUAAUUUCAAUCUAAUUUAUAACAUUAUUUGACAAUGAAUUUCCAACUAUUUUUUAUUCAUUAGUUUCCAAAUAUACUUUUCUAAAUAUUAAUAAUUUAAAGUAAUGCAUAUUAUAAAAUUUAUUUUAAAAUGUCUCAUCCAAAUCUGCAAUAUUUUCAAUGGAAAUAAUUAAAAUAAAAUAAUUAUGACAUUUAAUCUUAAAUUAUUUUUAUAAAAAUAUUUGAUUAAUAUUAAAAAAUUAUAAAACAAUUAAAAAUCAAUGAUACCAAAAUUUUAAAUAAAAAUAUAUUGCUCUAUGAAUAUUUGACAUAUUCAUUAUUCAUCAACAUUUUACGUUGUAAAUUUUUUUAUUAAGAAUUUUUAACUGGAAAAAAAACCUUAUUAAAAAAAAUAAAAAAGCAAUUAAGUCUUAAAAGAAGAAAUAGUUCAUCUUAUUACACUUUUAAUGACAAAAAAAAUUAACUAAACCCCUUCGUUAACAGAAACUAUCAGUUGAUUAGAGAUAAAAACGAGAUAAAAAGUAAAAUAAUAAAAAAAAGACAAAUAAAAUAUUAAGAAAUGAUAAUGAAAUAUAUAAAAAAAAUUAUUAUUUUGGUUUUAUGAUUAUAAAUUAUGUGUAUGUUUAUGAAACAAAAUAAAAAUGUAAACUCUAGACCCAAUUAAGAAAAUAAUUUAAAAUAUAAUAAUUUAUAUUAAUAUAAGAAUAAUAUUGAUAUCUAUUGAUUCGAAACUAAAUUUAAGCCGGCAAUUCCAAUUUUAUCGAGUAAUAUUUUUGAGUGAGUUGGGAUAAAUUUAAGAUAUUACGAGUGGCUGUCAUGGGCUAAGGUUUUCUAGACUAUUAUUUUUGAGUUAGUAGCAUAACUUAUAUGAAAGAAUAGAAAUCUAUUUGUCUUUCAAGGCUUAUCAUGGAGUUUAACAGAGACUAUCAAUAUAUUUAUUAUUUCUCAUACGUGAGAUUCGUCUAAAGAUUCAAACAAAAAGUCCGAGCAAAUCUUAAGAACAGUUGUCGAGUAAGUCGGUAGAUUUAGGCUUUUGUAUGUUUUUUAAUUUAGCUAGCUAUUUAAAAAAAAACAAAUAACGAGCAAAAGAAGAAUAUUAUAUUAAUGUAAAAUAUAAAACCAUGUGAAAUGCAACUACAGUGAAAGAAGAAAUUGAAGAAUAAAUGAAGGGCAUGGAAUGGCACAUUCUAUUACUGAAAGAGGUAAUUUAAUUUCUCCAUUCAACCAACAUUCCACCCACAUUCUCAAAUAAGAGAAUCCAUAUAUCCAGUCAAUGAACUCAUGAUAACCGAUGUACGGUCCACCUACAUUUCUCAAGCGCAGCUCCAGCAGAUUCUUCAGCUUUGGGAACUUGUCUUUAAGGAACUGAUGAUCAAGUUCCACUUCCAGGCAACCCUUUAUAUCCAAAUGCUCAAGAUGAGGACAACCAGAAAGGAUGUUGAGAACACAUUCCGUGCUGAUAAAAUGACAACGCAACUCAAGAUGCUUUAGCCUUGGCAUUGUACCUGCUAUUGCAUUCGCCUCAUCCUCCGGUUCGACCUUGCCUGCUGAAUCCAGAAAGUGCAUGUUGCGGCAAAGAGUUACAAGAAAUUUACAGUGCUUUCCAAUGGCCUCUAUAGCUUUGGCACCAAUUUUGGGACAGUGACUCAAAUCCAAGAAAGUGAUUGUGGAAAGCCUUUGGGCGGUUUCUUCUACUAUUGGACCACUUAUUUCACUUCGGGGUAGUCGUAAAACCUGAAGGGAGCCAGCACUUGCAAAAGGAAAGGGGAAAAAAGCCAUUUCACAUCAAUGUUUCAAUUGAACAAUGAUCCCUUAUAGGAACUGGCUUGGGAUCCAAUAAAAUCGUGAAAGCAAUUGCGAAAAAGCGUAAGAGCAAAUGAAACUUACUUCUCUGUGAUGAAUGAGAAAUUGGAUUCAUUCUGAAGACCUGCAACAUGUAGGCUGCGGAGAGAUCCACUGCUUCUUGCGACUAGCAUUCGAAGCAUCCGAUCGAGUUGAUGGGGCUGCCAGCGAAUGCUCCAUUGAAAAAGAUCUAUAUAUUGCCAACAAAGGGGACCCAUGACUGCCUUACUCCAGGAUUUGCAAACACAGGGAAUGACUUCCAGUAACUCUUUUAAGGACAGGUAACUGAAGAUCAGCCCCAAUACAUCAGGAAGUAGUUCAUCCCAGUGUCGAAACUCGCUUUGCUCUUCUUCCAUCUGAUCUUCAUUCAAGUCAUGAAGGUCAUAAUCAAAUCACAACAGGAAAAAAAUAAAUAAAAAAUCAAAGAUUAGGGGUUACCUUGUAUCACUUUCCUUGCCACGAUGCAAAACCUAAACACAAAAUCAAAGGCAACAAAAAAAGAACAGAGAAAAGUAGGCAUAGAGUAAGACAACUGAAGUAUCUAUAUAUACACAAGUAAAAACAUGGUGUUUAGGUGGAAAAAGAAGACGAAAAGGCAUGAAAGGCCGCUACUUAAUGCGGUAAUUAGAUAUUUUGUGUGCGUUGUAAGGAACAGAGUAUAUGAAAGGUUGGAGAUCAGUCAUCAUUCCAAUGUCCAAAAUUAGUGUUUAGAAUAAAUUUUCAACAUUGUUUUUCUUUCAUAUGAAGAGAUACUUAAUAUGUUUUUCUUCCCAAAAAAACCAUACUUAAUCUUCAUUGCUUAAUUUAUUAAACCACAUUACUAUUUUUCAGGAUUCCAAAAUAAAUUAACAUUUUUUUCCUUUGAUUUUUUUCUAUAUAAAUGAAAGUCUAUUUCCAAUAUAUCAUAUGAUGACGAAUUUAAAACUAUUUUUUAUUCAAUAAUUCCGAAAAAGUUCAUUAUUAAACAAAUCUUAAUAAUUUAAAAUAAUACAUAUUAAAAAAAUGUUAUUUUCAAAUUUCUCAUCGGGAAGUGCAACAUUUUCAAUGAAAAUAAUUAAAAUCCAAUAAAUAUGACAUUUAAUCUUAGAUUAUUGUUAUUAUACAAAUACUUUAUUAAUAUUAAAAAAAUUCUAUUUACAAAAAAUUAAAAUUCAAUGGUAAAUAAUAUUGAUUAUUGAGAACACUUCUAGGGGUUGCUAAGUUGAAAAGCUCUAGCCUAGGCAUUGUAGCAGAUAUUAAAUUUGCCUACUGCGUCCAGAAAGUAAAUAAUAGUGCUUCCUAAUUUGCUAAGAAAAUUAGUAUAACAGACUUGCAUUUAUAUAGGAAAGGAAUUUAGAAGAGAAUUGAAAAAAAGAUGUCCAAUUAGAUUGAAAUUGUGAAAAGUGAUUUACAUAAAACCAGAAAUAAGAAAACCUAAUAAAUGUAGAGAGAAAAAGGGCAAUGAUACCCUCACAAUCCCCAAAUCAGAGCUGCUGGAAAUAAUUCUGCCAUUCAACUUCAAAUAAACAUAUAUUGCAAAACUCAAAUUCCAUGCAUGAAGCUUUUUAAUAGAAUCUCCAAACCACAACAACUUCAUAUUGAAAAAAAAGAUGAUACUGUAACAUAAACAUGGUUCAAUAGUUGGAAGCAUCUUUCUGUGUGAACUACAACAGGAAGAUAUAGCUGAAGCAGCAUGGACACAAAGAAAUAUACCCAUGGAGAUGCAGCCAACUAACCAAACAUUCCACCAUUUUCACGUAAUCAUUCAGCAAGUUCCAUUGCAAUUUCUUCCAUCAUUGAUUCGAAGAAAUCAUCAUCGUAGAAGUCCUGAUCAAUAAUUGCUAAGUCUAAGUUCUCAUAGUCUUUAAACACCUUCUCUAAAUGAGGUCCCACAAUCUUUAACUUUGGGUACUUUUCUUUAAAGAACUUAAGAUCACGGUUCACAGUCAAGCAACCAUUUAUAUCCAAAUGCUCAAGCUGAGGACAGCUAGAGAUGAUGUUGAGAACACAUUCAGUGCUAAUAUUAUGGAAACCCAACUCAAGAUGCUUUAGCCUUGGCAUUGUAGCUGCUAUUGCAUUCGCCUCAUCCUCCGGUUCAUCCUUGCCUGCUGAAUCCAGAAAGUACAUGUUGCGGCACAGAGUUACAAGAAGUUUACAGUGCUUUCCAAUGGCCUCUAUAGCUUGGGCACCAAUUUUGGGACAGUAACUCAAAUCCAAGAAAGUGACGGUGGAAAGCCUUGGGGCGGUUUGUUCUACUAUUGAAUCAUUUAUUUUACUAUGCGGCACUCGUAAAACCCGAAGGGAGCCAGCACUUGCAAAAGCAAAGGGCAAAAAAGUCAUUUCACAUCAAGGUUUCCAUUGAACAAGGAUCCCCUAUAGGAACUGGUUUCGGAUCCAAUAAAAUCGUGAAAGCAAUUGUGAAAAAGGGUAAGAGCAAGUGAAACUUACUUCUCUGUGAUGAAUGAGAAAAUGGAAUCAUUCAGAAGACCUGCAACAUGUAGGCUGAGGAGAGAUCCCACUGCUUCUUGUGACUAGCAGUCGAAGCAUCCGAUCGAGAUGGUGGGGCUGGCAGCGACAGGUCCAUUCAUCAAGAUCUAUAUCUUGCCAACAAUAGGGACCCGUGAUUGCCUUACACCAGGAUUUGCAGACACAGGGAAUGACCACCAGUAACUCUUGUAGCGACAGGUUGGUGAAGAUCAACCCCAAUACAUCAGGAGGUAGUUGAUCCCAGUGUCGAAACUCGCUUUGCUCUUCUUCCAUCUGAUCUUCAUUCAAGUCAUGAAGGUCAUAAUCAAGUCACA